Long non-coding RNA from Peromyscus californicus insignis, 1732 nucleotides. RefSeq lists it as uncharacterized. The transcript is spliced from 3 exons. Lineage: Eukaryota; Metazoa; Chordata; Mammalia; Rodentia; Cricetidae. The record is from RefSeq and is a predicted model, not a curated record.
AGAUAAAUCGUUUUACUUGGGGAUUCCUGGGAGGCAUGCUAACCUUCUAUUGAAGACACAUGACUGUAGUAAAAUAUUUUAAGGACAGCUGAAAUGGGUUUCAGAAGAGUAAAGGGAAGAGAAGCCUGGAGACAAGAAAAGGAUGGCGGCCACAGAGUCCACAUGUGCAGGCAAUUCACACAAUCCCAGUUACUCCUCCUCUGCAGAACCCCUAACUGGGCUACUGCAAGUAUGUUUCCAGGUCCUUUUGAGAGACGAAGCUGUUUUGAAAGUAUGUGGUGGUUUGUCAAGAUACCAGGACACCAAGACAGCCAUUCAAUGAAGGGAUCUUCAAGGUCAGUCUUGCUCAAUUUAUACAGCUGGGAUGAUGACUUGCAUCUCAUGGCAUGAACGGCCUGUGGUGGUAUUGCAGGAAGAACGGUUCUCAGAACUCCUGUUUCUGGAACUAUCUGCAGGACCUGUUAGCAUGCCAGGCCCAGGUUCAGAUGCUGGAGUGUGUUUGGACUGAAGCUUACUUCCCUCUGUGAGGUCCCUCUGUGAGCGAGGGCCCAUUUGAAUGGCAGAUAAUCUGAAGCUUAUUGCCUGAAGAUUCCUGCAAAAUCCCAUGUAUGCAGAACAGCACUCCUUCUGGGCAUUGAAAGAUGGGAGAGGUAGCAAGUUGGUGUCAUCAAUGGAGAGAUUCUUGCUUCUCUUGCAUUGUCUGGGAACCUUCUAUGCAGACCUGCUUCCCAGCCAAGGGACACUUAGAUUUUUAUCUUGACUGGAAGUCCGGGGGCAGCUUGGCCAUGAAGGUUGGUACAACUUCAGAAGAAUCCCUCAACAGAUUGCCAUUCCUUGUCCAUCAAAAGCCUCCUCAGAGAACACAGGGCAUUCUCAGCUACCCAAGAUUUAAAUAAUCAACAUCAACCAGGUCUGCAGAAAGAUUGUGCUGGGAGGCAGCAUGGUCUAUUUACAAAUUUUACAGUUGAUACACACAGCAGUGCUAUCAGAUUACCCUGUGUGCUUCUGCUGUCUCCUUUAGAAAAGGAAAAUUAAUCGGCCUUUCUCUUGGGUUUAUUAUAAUAAUGGGUGGAAACACUGCCCACCGAAUUCUUAAGUCGGGAAUGUCAGAAAACAGAGCUGUGGCUGGCAUGCAGAGCGUCCUUAUGCUAUUAGAAAAAGCUGUCCACCUGUGAGUACACAAGGUUAGAAUUUGCCUCUUUUUCUGGGGUGGGUCAGGUUGGUUCCUAGGCUGAUGUCUUUUGGAAGCAGAGUACCCUGCUCAGCAAGCUCCCUUUGGGCUAGGCAUUAUCGAGAAAGCUGAGCCUGAGGUUCAGUAGAUACACGUUAGCUCCAGCAAUGAGCCUGGGAAAGACACUGAUGAUAAGACCCCCACCCCGAAUCCUGCACCUCUUCCACACACUCACUGGGAUUCUACCUAUCUACAGGCCCAGACAGAAUAGCACCCUCCAACCAGGGGGUGGGAGUGACUCAGUACCGUGGUGCAAUGCUCAGCAAAUGCUCCUCUUGAUAAACAGUGAGAACAGAGAACAAAAGCAGAAAGUCAAGUGGAGUUUUCUUUUCUGAGCUUCUUACCAGCUGAUCCCACUUCCUGUUCCUCUAAGGGCUUCCCUGACAGGCAGCUCGCUUCAUAUUUGGUCAUUGCCCUCUCACCUUCCUGGGUGAGUCAGUGCAGCUGACCUUGUACCCUUCAAGCUCCAGGGCUCCAGGGUGUACUCUGCCCAUUUCCUGA